Molecule: ribosomal RNA, 587 nt
Filed under: uncultured bacterium
Lineage: Bacteria
Description: bacterial SSU rRNA
Rfam family: Bacterial small subunit ribosomal RNA
Source: RNAcentral
CCUACGGGAGGCAGCAGUAGGGAAUCUUCCGCAAUGGACGAAAGUCUGAUGGAGCAACGCCGCGUGAGCGAUGAAGGCCUUCGGGUCGUAAAGCUCUGUUGUUAGGGAAGAAUAAGUACCGGAGUAACUGCCGGUACCUUGACGGUACCUAACCAGAAAGCCACGGCUAACUACGUGCCAGCAGCCGCGGUAAUACGUAGGUGGCAAGCGUUGUCCGGAAUUAUUGGGCGUAAAGCGCGCGCAGGCGGUCCUUUAAGUCUGAUGUGAAAGCCCACGGCUCAACCGUGGAGGGUCAUUGGAAACUGGGGGACUUGAGUGCAGAAGAGGAAAGCGGAAUUCCACGUGUAGCGGUGAAAUGCGUAGAGAUGUGGAGGAACACCAGUGGCGAAGGCGGCUUUCUGGUCUGUAACUGACGCUGAGGCGCGAAAGCGUGGGGAGCAAACAGGAUUAGAUACCCUGGUAGUCCACGCCGUAAACGAUGAGUGCUAAGUGUUAGGGGGUUUCCGCCCCUUAGUGCUGCAGCUAACGCAUUAAGCACUCCGCCUGGGGAGUACGGCCGCAAGGCUGAAACUCAAAGGAAUUGACGG